AUGUUAAGAGAAAUAAUUGCCAAUGGAAAGAUUAGCCAUUCACCGGAAUUAAAAUGAUCAAUUCCACUUUAUUUCGAUCCUCUUAACGGGGAGUCGACUUUUCUAAUCAGGCAGGUGUGAUUGCCUUAUCACAAUUUUCCGCGUUAAAUGCUUCGGUUGACCUUGGCCUCGAAAUGGAAUACUUACGGAAUCUGGCAUGAUUCCCGAAGAAAAGAGACCUCAGCUGUAUCAAUACAAAGUCUAAUCACGAUUUUCUAAAAUCUCCUAAAUAUAUUUAUUCCAGUAAAGAACGAAAGAAAUCAUUUUUUUUUCCUCAAAAAAAUGAAAUCUCGUGAACUUCAAGAUCUUCGUUAAGACCUCCUUGAUCACGUGUUAAAGUUUCAUAUUAUCCAGGGCACUCAUUUAGGAGAAAAGAUUUAUAAGCAUUAUAAUAUGUAUAGAAUGACCCUUUCAUAUCACCUUAAUAAUAUAAUUAGUGUAUAAUUAUUCAUUUUUAUGUCACCUUGUAUGUAACAUCGGAAUAUACGCUUGUAUAGCCGACUCUAGACAUGUCAAGAGUACGCGAUAAACAUUCAAGGUCUGUCGAGCUGUUUCAACCGCCUUGCUCUUCGAGAGCCAUUAAAUUGUCAUUAAACUGACCGUCAUCGAGGUCAUCUAGAAACAGCCUGUGUCAAUGGUCACAUGGACAAGUGUUAAAUCGGCAAUCAGCGCGGUCGAUAAUCGAUAUUCGAUUGCAGUCGCACUUAUAGUUCGGCUUCGCCUUUCGGAUGGUCAGUGGGAAAUUCAGUCGCGGAUUGACGGAUCCUCGAAGACGAUGUCAACGUACUUUCUGGACCCCCGAGGAGUCUUGACAAUUGUCAUCGCUUCUGUCAUCUUCGGGGAUGCUGUCAACGCGGAGCGCAAGAGUGUCGAAAAGUGCAAGGAGUACUCGAAGCUGGUCUACGUGGAGGAAGUCUCUCCUGUCCUCCGAUUAGGAACGGCCUCGAAGAGGGUUUCGAAAUGCACCACAAACAAAACCCCACUGAUCGUCGGCGGCGAAAAAGCGACACCUGCGGAAUUUCCGCACCAGGCUGUUAUCGGCUUCGGAAGCGGAACAGACAAGGCUUGGGAUUGCGGAGGUUCAAUUAUCUCCGAAAGUUACAUCUUGACUGCAGCGCAUUGUCUGGAGUCCUCGGAAGGGAACCCUGCAGCCGUUGUCCGGGUUGGCCUGACGAACCUGAAGAGCCCCGAGAGUACAAUGCAAGAGAGAAAAGUCAUGGAGAAGAUCAUUCAUCCCGACUAUCGGUUACCGUCCAAGUACAACGACAUGGCAUUGUUAAAAUUGGAAAAGCCUCUUCUCCUCGACCACAACGUAAGGCCGGCUUGCCUCGAGGUCGAGGCGGAGACCUCGAAGUACGGGAACAAAGCUGUGGCUUCAGGCUUCGGGAAGACUUCUAAUGACGAGACGGAGGGCAGUCCGGACCUGAUGAAGGUGCAGCUGGACUACGUGUCGAGGGAGGUCUGCGAGGAGCUCUUCAAGACUGAGAUAGGUGGAAGUCAACUCCCAGAAGGGAUGAUCCCCUCUCUUCUCUGCGCAGGCGUGCUGGCAGGAGAGAAGGACACUUGCCAGGGCGACAGCGGAGGUCCUCUUCAGCGCAUCCUGGACACUCCUUACUGCAUGUACAGCAUCGUCGGGGUUACGAGUUUCGGUCGUUUCUGCGCCUCGAAGGACUCCCCAGGGAUCUACUCCCGGGUCAGCUCGUAUCUGGACUGGAUCGAGAGCAUCGUCUGGCCGUAGCCUCGGGGAAGCUGAAGAGAGUAUUUAAAGAUCACCAGGAACCUAGAGGAGCGAUAUAGCGUGAUAAUAAAAAGGUCUUAUCUACCCUUGAACCGCGUCGACCGGAAGGGUCGUCAAAAAUUCUUGAUCGAGGUCAUAAGUCGACUGGUUCCAAUCAGCGAGGUCUUGAGGUCGAUAAGAUGUGAAGAUUGAUUUUAGAUGCGAAGGUCGACCUUAAGGGCGAAAAUUGAUCUUAGAUGCGAAGGUAGACCUUAAGGGCGAAAAUUGAUCUUAGAUGCGAAAGUCGACCUUAAGGGCGAAAAUUGAUCUUAGAUGCGAAGGUCGACCUUAAGGGCGAAAAUUGAUCUUAGAUGCGAAGAUCGACCUUAAGGGCGAAAAUUGAUCUUAGAUGCGAAGGUCGACCUUAAGGACGAAAAUUGAUCUUACAUGCGAAGGUCGACCUUAAGGGCGAAAAUUGAUCGUAGAUGCGAAUGUCGACCUUAAGGGUGAAAAUUGAUCUUAAAUGCGAAUGUCGACCUUAAGUGCGAUGCUUGUUUUAGAUGCGAAGGUUGACCUUAAGGGCGAAAAUUGAUCUUAAAUGCGGACAAGAAGUCUCUUCCUUAAAAACGACUCAGCCGAAUCAUGUAUUUCGUCGACAGCCUCGACAACGCUUCUCCUUUACAGACUACGGAAAAAAAAAAUAACUCGAGUAAAAUUGGCUACACCGUUUUCGAUAAAUCCGUGGAAACGGAUUCAAAAGACUUUUCUAAUGGACGCUCAAUUAAUCGCUAGAGCUCCAAUUAAACUGUGCAGAUUGCAAAUCGCUGCGAGUUUUUCGUCUCACGUGGGGCCACCUUUACACCUGUCGCGCACAUGGAGAUCUUCCGGAUACAUAUACACGCGACCACGUACACACAUACACCCACAUACAUAUUUAUGUAUAAAACAGAAGAAACACAAGGGACGCACUUAUCAAUUGUCAUUGUUGAACUUGUGUCUCCCUAAAGGUGGCCACUCACGUACCGAUGAAUUUAGAAAAAAAUUCGAUCUGCAGAUUUAACCGACGCGUGGCCCUUAUUAAACUCGAGUUAACUGUACAAGUUGUAAAUAACUAGAGAUUAUCGUCAUACGAUGUAACCGCCUUUGCAUAAACGCGCGUAUUUGUAUAUGUAUAAAAAAGGGAAGAGAAAGAAAUUGGGAUCGUUCAUCAAUUAA
This 2971-nucleotide unclassified non-coding RNA is filed under the name Orussus abietinus. Its description in RNAcentral is "serine protease snake, transcript variant X1". The record is from RNAcentral. Lineage: Eukaryota; Metazoa; Arthropoda; Insecta; Hymenoptera; Orussidae.